This 254-nucleotide ribosomal RNA is filed under the name uncultured bacterium. RNAcentral's name for it is "partial 16S ribosomal RNA". It matches the Rfam family "Bacterial small subunit ribosomal RNA", at positions 524 to 776 of the family's 1533-position model. The record is from RNAcentral.
UACGUAGGGACCAAGCGUUGUUCGGAUUUACUGGGCGUAAAGGGCGCGUAGGCGGCGCUGUAAGUCACUUGUGAAAUCUCCGGGCUUAACCCGGAACGGUCAAGUGAUACUGCAGUGCUAGAGUGCGGAAGGGGCAAUCGGAAUUCUCGGUGUAGCGGUGAAAUGCGUAGAUAUCGAGAGGAACACCUGAGGUGAAGACGGGUUGCUGGGCCGACACUGACGCUGACAGCGCGAAAGCCAGGGGAGCAAACGGG